This 76-nucleotide transfer RNA is filed under the name Stenotrophomonas sp. SAU14A_NAIMI4_8. RNAcentral describes it as "tRNA-Asn". It matches the Rfam family "tRNA". From Rfam's summary of the family: Transfer RNA (tRNA) molecules are approximately 80 nucleotides in length. Their secondary structure includes four short double-helical elements and three loops (D, anti-codon, and T loops). Further hydrogen bonds mediate the characteristic L-shaped molecular structure. tRNAs have two regions of fundamental functional importance: the anti-codon, which is responsible for specific mRNA codon recognition, and the 3' end, to which the tRNAs corresponding amino acid is attached (by aminoacyl-tRNA synthetases). tRNAs cope with the degeneracy of the genetic code in two manners: having more than one tRNA (with a specific anti-codon) for a particular amino acid; and 'wobble' base-pairing, i.e. permitting non-standard base-pairing at the 3rd anti-codon position. RNAcentral also lists the same sequence under 1 other name. Lineage: Bacteria; Pseudomonadati; Pseudomonadota; Gammaproteobacteria; Lysobacterales; Lysobacteraceae. The record is from RNAcentral.
UGGCGAGUAGCUCAAUUGGUAGAGCAGCGGCCCGUUAAGCCGCCAGUUGCAGGUUCAAGUCCUGCCUUGCCAGCCA